RNAcentral lists this ribosomal RNA (243 nucleotides) under uncultured bacterium. RNAcentral's name for it is "partial 16S ribosomal RNA". It matches the Rfam family "Bacterial small subunit ribosomal RNA", at positions 111 to 354 of the family's 1533-position model. The record is from RNAcentral.
UAACGCGUGAGGAACCUGCCUUCCAGAGGGGGACAACAGUUGGAAACGACUGCUAAUACCGCAUGACGCAUUGGUGUCGCAUGGCACUGAUGUCAAAGAUUUAUCGCUGGAAGAUGGCCUCGCGUCUGAUUAGCUGGUUGGUGAGGUAACGGCCCACCAAGGCGACGAUCGGUAGCCGGACUGAGAGGUUGGCCGGCCACAUUGGGACUGAGAUACGGCCCAGACUCCUACGGAAGGCAGCAG